GUGGGGAAUAUUGGACAAUGGGCGCAAGCCUGAUCCAGCCAUGCCGCGUGAGUGAUGAAGGCCUUAGGGUUGUAAAGCUCUUUCAGUGGGGACGAUAAUGACGGUACCCACAGAAGAAGCCCCGGCUAACUUCGUGCCAGCAGCCGCGGUAAUACGAAGGGGGCUAGCGUUGUUCGGAAUUACUGGGCGUAAAGCGCACGUAGGCGGACAUUUAAGUCAGGGGUGAAAUCCCGGGGCUCAACCCCGGAACUGCCUUUGAUACUGGGUGUCUGGAGUAUGGGAGAGGUAAGUGGAAUUCCGAGUGUAGAGGUGAAAUUCGUAGAUAUUCGGAGGAACACCAGUGGCGAAGGCGGCGUACUGGUCCAUUACUGACGCUGAGGUGCGAAAGCGUGGGGAGCAAACAGGAUUAGAAACCCUUGUAGUCC
This 425-nucleotide ribosomal RNA is filed under the name uncultured bacterium. Its description in RNAcentral is "partial 16S ribosomal RNA". It matches the Rfam family "Bacterial small subunit ribosomal RNA", at positions 354 to 796 of the family's 1533-position model. The record is from RNAcentral.